AGAGUUUGAUCCUGGCUCAGGAUGAACGCUAGCGGCAGGCCUAAUACAUGCAAGUCGUACGGGAUCCCCUCCUUCGGGAGGGGUGAGAGUGGCGGACGGGUGCGUUACGCGUAUGCAACCAACCCCCGACGGGCGUACAGCCGGUGGAAACGCCGGGUGAUGCGCCAUGCGGCCGGGAGAGGGCAUCCUCUUUCGGCGAAAGCCCUUGGGCGGUCGGGGACGGGCAUGCGUGCCAUUAGCUAGUUGGCGGGGUAACGGCCCACCAAGGCGACGAUGGUUAGGGGUUCUGAGAGGAAGGUCCCCCACAUUGGAACUGAGACACGGUCCAGACUCCUACGGGAGGCAGCAGUGAGGAAUAUUGGACAAUGGCCGGAAGGCUGAUCCAGCCAUGCCGCGUGCGGGAAGACGGCCCUAUGGGUUGUAAACCGCUUUUGUUGGGGAGCAAUAAGGUCCACGUGUGGAUUGAUGAGAGUACCCAGCGAAUAAGCAUCGGCUAACUCCGUGCC
RNAcentral lists this ribosomal RNA (506 nucleotides) under uncultured organism. Its description in RNAcentral is "SSU rRNA". It matches the Rfam family "Bacterial small subunit ribosomal RNA", at positions 8 to 509 of the family's 1533-position model. The record is from RNAcentral.